AACGAACGCUGGCGGCAUGCCUAACACAUGCCAGUCGAACGAGACCUUCGGGUCUAGUGGCGCACGGGUGCGUAACGCGUGGGAACCUGCCCUUAGGUUCGGAAUAACUCCCCGAAAGGGGUGCUAAUACCGGAUAAUGUCUUCGGACCAAAGAUUUAUCGCCUCUGGAUGGGCCCGCGUUGGAUUAGCUAGUUGGUAGGGUAAAAGCCUACCAAGGCGACGAUCCAUAGCUGGUCUGAGAGGAUGAUCAGCCACACUGGGACUGAGACACGGCCCAGACUCCUACGGGAGGCAGCAGUGGGGAAUAUUGGACAAUGGGCGAAAGCCUGAUCCAGCAAUGCCGCGUGAGUGAUGAAGGCCUUAGGGUUGUAAAGCUCUUUUACCCGGGAUGAUAAUGACAGUACCGGGAGAAUAAGCUCCGGCUAACUCCGUG
RNAcentral lists this ribosomal RNA (433 nucleotides) under uncultured bacterium. Its description in RNAcentral is "partial 16S ribosomal RNA". It matches the Rfam family "Bacterial small subunit ribosomal RNA", at positions 29 to 507 of the family's 1533-position model. The record is from RNAcentral.